GACCUAUUCCCUCCAUCCGAAAAUACUUGUCGGAGAAAUCAAUGUAUUUAUACGUAUUUUAGUUCUAAAUACAUUCAUUCUUUUCAUUUCUCCAUCAAGUAUUUCCGGACAGAGGGAGUAUCUA
Molecule: non-coding RNA, 124 nt
Organism: Triticum aestivum (bread wheat)
Lineage: Eukaryota; Viridiplantae; Streptophyta; Magnoliopsida; Poales; Poaceae
Source: Rfam